UCCAUGUCCAAAGAAUUGUCAUCAAGGUUUGCUAAAGGAUUAGUAUAUAAUCAUAUCAGCCUUGGGGAAAGUCUCCGGUCAAAAUAUUAGGUGCAAGCGCCAUUGGCUAAUAUAAGCCAUUACACCGAUUGGACUAAUAGUGUCAACAUUAGCCAUUGAAGUUCUUUCUACCUAGAAUUGGGAUAUUGGGAUACGUUUAUUCGUGUGCAGAAAGGCAUCUGGAAUCUUUUCAAUGCUUCUUUUGAGCUGAGUUGAAAAGUUUGCUUGUUGCCGAUCGUACGCUAUCGAACAGAUUUAUCCUUAUCCGCAGGGUUUUGGGCAGUAUUCUCUUUCAGUGGUGUUGCAUAUUGUUAUUAUCAAUCGGUUCAAUUUCAUUCUUUCGGCAUUGGGAAUUUCGUUCCUAAGCGAUAGUUAUGACAGUUUUAGCCUAACCAGCUAACACCCAAUGGAGCUUACUUUGUGGCAUGG
RNAcentral lists this RNase MRP RNA (468 nucleotides) under Komagataella phaffii GS115. Its description in RNAcentral is "rNase MRP". It matches the Rfam family "RNase MRP". From Rfam's summary of the family: RNase MRP is an enzymatically active ribonucleoprotein with two distinct roles in eukaryotes. In mitochondria it plays a direct role in the initiation of mitochondrial DNA replication. In the nucleus it is involved in precursor rRNA processing, where it cleaves the internal transcribed spacer 1 between 18S and 5.8S rRNAs. Lineage: Eukaryota; Fungi; Ascomycota; Pichiomycetes; Pichiales; Pichiaceae. The record is from RNAcentral.